This 253-nucleotide ribosomal RNA is filed under the name uncultured bacterium. RNAcentral describes it as "partial 16S ribosomal RNA". It matches the Rfam family "Bacterial small subunit ribosomal RNA", at positions 524 to 776 of the family's 1533-position model. The record is from RNAcentral.
UACGGGGGGGGCAAGCGUUGUUCGGAAUUACUGGGCGUAAAGGGCUCGUAGGCGGCCAACUAAGUCAGGCGUGAAAUCCCUCGGCUUAACCGGGGAACGGCCUCUGAUACUGGCUGGCUGGAGUUCGGGAGAGGGAUGCGGAAUUCCAGGUGUAGCGGUGAAAUGCGUAGAUAUCUGGAGGAACACCGGUGGCGAAGGCGGCAUCCUGGACCGACACUGACGCUGAGGAGCGAAAGCCAGGGGAGCAAACGGG